GGCUGGUCCAAAGGUAGUUGAGUUAUCUCAGUUGGUUGUUCAUAGGCAGUAACAUCAAACUCCUUAUUCUUCUCUGUCCCCUCUUCUCAAUACUGCACUUGACUAGUCUAAA
Molecule: Y RNA, 112 nt
Filed under: Cercocebus atys (sooty mangabey)
Lineage: Eukaryota; Metazoa; Chordata; Mammalia; Primates; Cercopithecidae
Description: Y RNA (ENSCATG00000005605.1)
Rfam family: Y RNA
About the family: Y RNAs are components of the Ro ribonucleoprotein particle (Ro RNP), in association with Ro60 and La proteins. The Y RNAs and Ro60 and La proteins are well conserved, but the function of the Ro RNP is not known. In humans the RNA component can be one of four small RNAs -- hY1, hY3, hY4 and hY5.
Source: Rfam by way of RNAcentral